AACUAACGCUGGCGGCGUGCCUAACACAUGCAAGUCGUACGAGAAAGUUGGCUUCGGCCGAUGAGUACAGUGGCGCACGGGUGAGUAACGCGUGGAUAAUCUGCCCUUAAGUGUGGAAUAACGUACCGAAAGGUGCGCUAAUACCGCAUAAUGCCUGGCAACAUAAGUUGUCCGGCCAAAGAAGGCCUCUGCUUGCAAGCUUUCGCUAAAGGAUGAGUCCGCGUACCAUUAGCUAGUUGGUGAGGUAAUGGCUCACCAAGGCGACGAUCAGUAGCUGGUCUUAGAGGAUGAUCAGCCACACUGGGACUGAGACACGGCCCAGACUCCUACGGGAGGCAGCAGUGAGGAAUCUUGGACAAUGGGCGCAAGCCUGAUCCAGCCAUGCCGCGUGAGUGAUGAAGGCCUUAGGGUUGUAAAGCUCUUUUGCCGGGGAUGAUAAUGACCGUACCCGGAGAAUAAGCCACGGCUAAAUUCGUG
This 477-nucleotide ribosomal RNA is filed under the name uncultured bacterium. Its description in RNAcentral is "bacterial SSU rRNA". It matches the Rfam family "Bacterial small subunit ribosomal RNA", at positions 29 to 507 of the family's 1533-position model. The record is from RNAcentral.